GGGUUGUGAGGUUAAGCGAAUAAGCGUACACGGUGGAUGCCUAGGCAGUCAGAGGCGAUGAAGGACGUGCUAAUCUGCGAUAAGCGCCGGUAAGGUGAUAUGAACCGUUAUAACCGGCGAUUUCCGAAUGGGGAAACCCAGUG
Molecule: ribosomal RNA, 143 nt
Filed under: Morganella morganii
Lineage: Bacteria; Pseudomonadati; Pseudomonadota; Gammaproteobacteria; Enterobacterales; Morganellaceae
Description: partial 23S ribosomal RNA
Rfam family: Bacterial large subunit ribosomal RNA
Source: RNAcentral